GCGGGUGAGGAUGAAGGUUUCGGAUCGUAAAGUCUGUGUUAGGGAGACAAGUCCGUUGAAUAGGGCGCACCUGACGGUACCUACCAGAAGCCACGGUAACUACGUGCCAGCAGCGCGGUAUACGUAGGGGCAAGCGUGUCCGGAAUUAUUGGCGUAAAGCGCGCGCAGGCGGUCUUUUAAGUCUGGAUGGAAAGCCCACGGCUCAACCGUGGAGGGUCAUUGGAAACUGGGAGACUUGAGUACAGAAGAGGAGAGUGGAAUUCCACGUGUAGCGGUGAAAUGCGUAGAUAUGUGGAGGAACACCAGUGGCGAAGGCGACUCUCUGGUCUGUAACUGACGCUGAGGCGCGAAAGCGUGGGGAGCAAACAGGAUUAGAUACCCUGGUAGUCCACGCCGUAAACGAUGAGUGCUAGGUGUUAGGGGUUUCGAUGCCCUUAGUGCCGAAGUUAACACAUUAAGCACUCCGCCUGGGGAGUACGACCGCAAGGUUGAAACUCAAAGGAAUUGACGGGGGCCCGCACAAGCAGUGGAGCAUGUGGUUUAAUUCGAAGCAACGCGAAGAACCUUACCAGGUCUUGACAUCCUUUGACAACCCUAGAGAUAGGGCUUUCCCCUUCGGGGGACAAAGUGACAGGUGGUGCAUGGUUGUCGUCAGCUCGUGUCGUGAGAUGUUGGGUUAAGUCCCGCAACGAGCGCAACCCUUGAUCUUAGUUGCCAGCAUUCAGUUGGGCACUCUAAGGUGACUGCCGGUGACAAACCGGAGGAAGGUGGGGACGACGUCAAAUCAUCAUGCCCCUUAUGACCUGGGCUACACACGUGCUACAAUGGAUGGUACAAAGGGCUGCAAAACCGCGAGGUUGAGCGAAU
RNAcentral lists this ribosomal RNA (867 nucleotides) under Bacillus sp. EK4. Its description in RNAcentral is "bacterial SSU rRNA". It matches the Rfam family "Bacterial small subunit ribosomal RNA", at positions 397 to 1272 of the family's 1533-position model. The record is from RNAcentral. Lineage: Bacteria; Bacillati; Bacillota; Bacilli; Caryophanales; Bacillaceae.